UGGUUAAGUCCGCAACGAGCGCAACCCUUGUCUUUAAUUGCCAUCAUUUAGUUGGGCACUUUAAAGAGACUGCCGGUGUUAAGCCGGAGGAAGGUGGGGAUGACGUCAAGUCCUCAUGGCCUUUAUGCCCAGGGCUACACACGUGCUACAAUGGGCGGUACAAGGAGAAGCAACCUCGCGAGGGUGAGCAAAUCUCAAAAAGCCGUUCUCAGUUCGGAUUGAAGUCUGCAACUCGACUUCAUGAAGUCGGAAUCGCUAGUAAUCGCGGAUCAGCAUGCCGCGGUGAAUACGUUCUCGGGGUUU
RNAcentral lists this ribosomal RNA (303 nucleotides) under uncultured Syntrophaceae bacterium. Its description in RNAcentral is "bacterial SSU rRNA". It matches the Rfam family "Bacterial small subunit ribosomal RNA", at positions 1077 to 1382 of the family's 1533-position model. The record is from RNAcentral. Lineage: Bacteria; Pseudomonadati; Thermodesulfobacteriota; Syntrophia; Syntrophales; Syntrophaceae.